AGUGAACGCUGGCGGUAGGCCUAACACAUGCAAGUCGAACGGCAGCACAGUAAGAGCUUGCUCUUACGGGUGGCGAGUGGCGGACGGGUGAGGAAUACAUCGGAAUCUACUUUUUCGUGGGGGAUAACGUAGGGAAACUUACGCUAAUACCGCAUACGACCUACGGGGGAAAGCAUGGGAUCUUCGGACCUUGCGCGAUUGAAUGAGCCGAUGUCGGAUUAGCUAGUUGGCGGGGUAAAGGCCCACCAAGGCGACGAUCCGUAGCUGGUCUGAGAGGAUGAUCAGCCACACUGGAACUGAGACACGGUCCAGACUCCUACGGGAGGCAGCAGUGGGGAAUAUUGGACAAUGGGCGCAAGCCUGAUCCAGCCAUACCGCGUGGGUGAAGAAGGCCUUCGGGUUGUAAAGCCCUUUUGUUGGGAAAGAAAAGCAGCAGGUUAAUACCCCGCUGUUCUGACGGUACCCAAAGAAUAAGCACCGGCUAACUUCGUG
Molecule: ribosomal RNA, 492 nt
Filed under: uncultured bacterium
Lineage: Bacteria
Description: partial 16S ribosomal RNA
Rfam family: Bacterial small subunit ribosomal RNA
Source: RNAcentral